This 501-nucleotide ribosomal RNA is filed under the name uncultured bacterium. RNAcentral's name for it is "bacterial SSU rRNA". It matches the Rfam family "Bacterial small subunit ribosomal RNA", at positions 23 to 518 of the family's 1533-position model. The record is from RNAcentral.
CUUAGGAUGAGCGCUAGCGACAGGCCUAACACAUGCAAGUCGAGGGGCAGCACAAGGAGCAAUCUGAGGUGGCGACCGGCGCACGGGUGAGUAACACGUAUGCAACCUGCCUGUAAGCGGGGAAUAACCCGUUGAAAGACGGACUAAUACCGCAUAAUACUAAAUUACUGCAUGGUAAUUUAUUUAAACAUUUAUGGCUUACAGAUGGGCAUGCGCAUGAUUAGCUAGUUGGAGAGGUAACGGCUCCCCAAGGCAACGAUCAUUAGGGGUUCUGAGAGGAAGGUCCCCCACACUGGUACUGAGACGCGGACCAGACUCCUACGGGAGGCAGCAGUGAGGAAUAUUGGUCAAUGGACGAGAGUCUGAACCAGCCAAGUCGCGUGCAGGAAGAAUGUCCCUAUGGAUUGUAAACUGCUUUUGCAGGGGAAUAAAGUGCAUCACGUGUGAUGUUUUGUAUGUACUCUGCGAAUAAGGAUCGGCUAACUCCGUGCCAGCCGCAGC